GAUGAACGCUAGCGGGAGGCUUAAUACAUGCAAGUCGAGGGGUAACAUGGGUUUUCGGACCUGAUGACGACCGGCGCACGGGUGAGUAACGCGUACACAACCUACCUUUAAGAGGAGGAUAGCCUUUGGAAACGAAGAUUAAUACUCCAUGUGAUUAACUUAUAGAAUGAUUGGUUAAUUAAAGGAUUCGUCUGCUUAAAGAUGGGUGUGCGUCCCAUUAGAUAGUUGGUGAGGUAAUGGCUCACCAAGUCAACGAUGGGUAGGGGGCGUGAGAGCGUGACCCCCCACACGGGUACUGAGACACGGACCCGACUCCUACGGGAGGCAGCAGUAAGGAAUAUUGGACAAUGGGCGCAAGCCUGAUCCAGCCAUCCCGCGUGGAGGAUGACGGCCCUCUGGGUUGUAAACUCCUUUUGUUAGGGAAGAAUCCCCUGGAUUUAUCUGGGGUUGACGGUACCUAAAGAAUAAGCACCGGCUAACUCCG
RNAcentral lists this ribosomal RNA (484 nucleotides) under uncultured Saprospiraceae bacterium. RNAcentral describes it as "bacterial SSU rRNA". It matches the Rfam family "Bacterial small subunit ribosomal RNA", at positions 28 to 505 of the family's 1533-position model. The record is from RNAcentral. Lineage: Bacteria; Pseudomonadati; Bacteroidota; Saprospiria; Saprospirales; Saprospiraceae.